This 427-nucleotide ribosomal RNA is filed under the name uncultured bacterium. Its description in RNAcentral is "bacterial SSU rRNA". It matches the Rfam family "Bacterial small subunit ribosomal RNA", at positions 355 to 775 of the family's 1533-position model. The record is from RNAcentral.
UCGAGAAUUUUUCUCAAUGGGGGAAACCCUGAAGGAGCGACGCCGCGUGGAGGAUGAAGGUCUUCGGAUUGUAAACUCCUGUCAUUUGGGAACAAUUGUCAUGCGUUAACUGCGUGUGGCUUGAUAGUACCAGAAGAGGAAGAGACGGCUAACUCUGUGCCAGCAGCCGCGGUAAUACAGAGGUCUCAAGCGUUGUUCGGAUUCAUUGGGCGUAAAGGGAGCGUAGGUGGCGUCGUAAGUCAGGUGUGAAAUCUCGGGGCUCAACCCCGAAACUGCACCCGAUACUGCGAUGCUAGAGUACUGGAGAGGAGAUUGGAAUUUACGGUGUAGCAGUGAAAUGCGUAGAUAUCGUAAGGAAGACCAGUGGCGAAGGCGAAUCUCUGGACAGUUACUGACACUGAGGCUCGAAGGCCAGGGGAGCAAACGG